AGUGAACGCUGGCGGUAGGCCUAACACAUGCAAGUCGAACGGCAGCACAGUAAGAGCUUGCUCUUACGGGUGGCGAGUGGCGGACGGGUGAGGAAUACAUCGGAAUCUACUUUUUCGUGGGGGAUAACGUAGGGAAACUUACGCUAAUACCGCAUACGACCUACGGGUGAAAGCAGGGGAUCUUCGGACCUUGCGCGACUGAAUGAGCCGAUGUCGGAUUAGCUAGUUGGCGGGGUAAAGGCCCACCAAGGCGACGAUCCGUAGAUGGUCUGAGAGGAUGAUCAGCCACACUGGAACUGAGACACGGUCCAGACUCCUACGGGAGGCAGCAGUGGGGAAUAUUGGACAAUGGGCGCAAGCCUGAUCCAGCCAUGCCGCGUGGGUGAAGAAGGCCUUCGGGUUGUAAAGCCCUUUUGUUGGGAAAGAAAAGCAGCAGGUUAAUACCCCGCUGUUCUGACGGUACCCAAAGAAUAAGCACCGGCUAACUUCGUG
RNAcentral lists this ribosomal RNA (492 nucleotides) under uncultured bacterium. RNAcentral describes it as "partial 16S ribosomal RNA". It matches the Rfam family "Bacterial small subunit ribosomal RNA", at positions 29 to 507 of the family's 1533-position model. The record is from RNAcentral.